This 84-nucleotide transfer RNA is filed under the name Candidatus Giovannonibacteria bacterium RIFCSPHIGHO2_01_FULL_43_100. RNAcentral describes it as "tRNA-Leu". It matches the Rfam family "tRNA". From Rfam's summary of the family: Transfer RNA (tRNA) molecules are approximately 80 nucleotides in length. RNAcentral also lists the same sequence under 5 other names. Lineage: Bacteria; Candidatus Giovannoniibacteriota. The record is from RNAcentral.
GGGCGAGUGGCGGAAUGGUAUACGCGCACGACUUAAAAUCGUGUGCCGAAAGGCUUGAGGGUUCGAGUCCCUCCUCGCCCACAA